Boleophthalmus pectinirostris (great blue-spotted mudskipper) is the source of this 1562-nucleotide long non-coding RNA. RefSeq lists it as uncharacterized. NCBI's taxonomy places the organism in Eukaryota, Metazoa, Chordata, Actinopteri, Gobiiformes, Gobiidae. The transcript has 3 exons. The record is from RefSeq and is a predicted model, not a curated record.
GUUCCAGCAUAUGGCAGUAAAUUUGGAAACACCGACACUACCAGGCCAAGUUACAGGGUUGGGUCCCAAUGCUCGAAGGGAGAACUCACCCACGACCAGUUCACGGACAUCCUUCCAGUGCAGUUCGCUGCCUUUCUCGUGGAUGAGAGUCACUGUGAUCCUGCGCUGGAUCCCCUGCAGCCAGUAUGACGCACAUUGGGUUAUGAACAGGCACGGAAGAGUGCUCCAACAAAAGUGAAAUUUCCACUCCAUGAUUUAGAAGAGGCAUUUCCAUACCUGAUGAAGCAAGUAAGUGCCAUGACAGGGCAGUCCUCCACUGUGAUCGACAACAGCUGGGAUGUACCUGUGACGAUGGGGGAAAGUUAUCUUGGGCUCAAAUUAACUUCCAAUCACAAAAAUCUACAGAAUUGUCCAUGUAGGUUUAAUAUUAUGGCUCAUUAUGAGUUCAUUGUCUGUGUAAUCUUAACAGGUGAGUUGUGAAGAAGGGCUUGUCAAUGGACUUUGUUGCUGUUAAAAGCAUAUUGAUUUCAUGUAAAGUAUAGACCUAGUCUUUUUUAGACUUACUCUCCAGUGGGCUCAAGUUCGCUGAUCUCAAACCACACUAGCAGGUCGUACUUGCUGAUGCUCUGACCCAGGUAGGACUUGGUGAAGGUGUUCAGCUUUGUGGCUGGAACUAAUUAAAAAUAAACACAACAAGACAAAAUAGAUAUCUUAGAAUAACAAACUAAAAGACUGAAAUACUGUACAACAACAAUUGGAAGUUUACAAUGGUAAGAUCACACCAUUAGACAAUACUCAAAAAAGUGUGUUUAGCAUAGAUCUAUGUAAAGUAUACAACCUACAAAGAACUUUUUGAAUACAAAAUAUUGCUUUUAAAUGUAACAAAAAACUAAAUUCAAAUUGACUCUGAAACUAAACCACAUCUUACACCAGUUAUUGCUUCCUGCUGUCAGCACAUCAGGAUUAUCUUUAGUUUAACAGGCUAAUCUUUGCAGCUCAGGUACAUGUAGUCUGCUAUGUUCAUGUUCAAUGAAACUAAUACAGCUCCAAAUGAAAAGUACUAUAAUGAGACAGGCAAUGAUCACAGAAAAGCGUUAAGCCUCCGUGUAGUGGCUGGUGUUUUGUCAGUGAUCCUUCAUGAUUCUGACAAAUACUUCUUUGUAAUAUUUUGGAUUUGGUAUAUUCAGCAGCUAAGCUUAGUAAAAAUAUGACAUUAAAUGCAUCAAACAUCAGUAAUGCAGAGUUACACUGUUAUUCUUUAUUGCACACUUUCAUGUUAUGUAAUUGCAAAGUUGAUUCAGUUAUAAAUUGUGUUUAGCUUGUUUAUAGAGCUUGCUGAGACCAUCUGAGCAUAGACGAAAUAAAAUAAAUUGUAAAAUGUGUUGUGGCCAUAAAUGAAAAGAACAGCACACUCCUACAGCAAUGAGAGACAUCUUUAGGCAUUUAAAGACUUAUGACCGAAGAAAAUUAUAAACAACUAGAUAUGAUUAAACAUCACAUUUAUGUUUAUUAUUGAGUAACAGACCCAGAUGACCGAACAGUAAAAUAUCACUGGCUUUAUA